RNAcentral lists this ribosomal RNA (680 nucleotides) under uncultured bacterium. Its description in RNAcentral is "bacterial SSU rRNA". It matches the Rfam family "Bacterial small subunit ribosomal RNA", at positions 38 to 707 of the family's 1533-position model. The record is from RNAcentral.
AAUGCGGCUGCCUUAACAUGCAAGUCGAACGGCAGCAUGAUCUAGCUUGCUAGAUUGAUGGCGAGUGGCGAACGGGUGAGUAAUACAUCGGAACGUGCCCUGUAGUGGGGGAUAACUAGUCGAAAGAUUAGCUAAUACCGCAUACGACCUGAGGGUGAAAGUGGGGGACCGCAAGGCCUCAUGCUAUAGGAGCGGCCGAUGUCUGAUUAGCUAGUUGGUGAGGUAAAGGCUUGCCAAGGCGACGAUCAGUAGCUGGUCUGAGAGGACGAUCAGCCACACUGGGACUGAGACACGGCCCAGACUCCUACGGGAGGCAGCAGUGGGGAAUUUUGGACAAUGGGGGCAACCCUGAUCCAGCAAUGCCGCGUGUGUGAAGAAGGCCUUCGGGUUGUAAAGCACUUUUGUCCGGAAAGAAAUCGCACUUACUAAUAUUAGGUGUGGAUGACGGUACCGGAAGAAUAAGGACCGGCUAACUACGUGCCAGCAGCCGCGGUAAUACGUAGGGUCCAAGCGUUAAUCGGAAUUACUGGGCGUAAAGCGUGCGCAGGCGGUUGUGCAAGACCGAUGUGAAAUCCCCGGGCUUAACCUGGGAAUUGCAUUGGUGACUGCACGGCUAGAGUGUGUCAGAGGGGGGUAGAAUUCCACGUGUAGCAGUGAAAUGCGUAGAGAUGUGGAGGAAU